RNAcentral lists this ribosomal RNA (263 nucleotides) under Klebsiella pneumoniae. Its description in RNAcentral is "partial 16S ribosomal RNA". It matches the Rfam family "Bacterial small subunit ribosomal RNA", at positions 1281 to 1533 of the family's 1533-position model. Lineage: Bacteria; Pseudomonadati; Pseudomonadota; Gammaproteobacteria; Enterobacterales; Enterobacteriaceae. The record is from RNAcentral.
GUAUGUCGUAGCCCCGAUUGGAGUCUGCAACUCGACUCCAUGCCGGCGGAAUCGCUAGUAAUCGUAGAUCAGAAUGCUCCGGUGACUACGUUCCCGGGCCUUCUACGGACCGCCCGUCACACCAUGGGAGUGGUUUGCAAAAGAAGUAGGCAGCUUAACCUUCGGGAGGGCGCUUACCACUUUGCGAUUCAUGACUGGGGUGACGUCGGAACAAGGUAACCGCAGGGGGACCUGCGGUUGGAUCACCUCAUUAACUUAAAGAA